UUUCAGCAAGAUGGUGAAACGAUGCGCCUAUGGCACCUGCAAGCUUAUAUACUGUCUAUGCCUGCAAGUCUGACACCAGGUACCCCAAAAGUUUAGAGGGAGGGGACGUUUUUUUUCACCUUUCCAAAGCCCAAGACCCAAGCGGAAAGAUGCCGACAAUGGAUUAAGCAAUGUGGGAGACCUCACUCACAGCUAAAUGCCUCGAAGAUUAAUAAUCAUAGCUAGCUACAUAUGUCUGCUCCAAGAUUGGCUGCAUUCACCAGCUGUUUCUUCCAACAUCUGUGGUGAUUUAUGGAUGUUUGUUCAAGCUUCAGGCAAGAUGCCAUCUGAAGGAAUAAUGUAGCAAGCUAGCAGCGAUGGAGGGAGGAGAUAACUUCUGGUUCUGACAACAAGCAACAAGUGCAGAGGGAUAUAACAUGACAUGGAUAUUGACAAACGCACCUCCAUAAAACGGCCAGACAGAGGCUGUACCCUCCCUUGCGGCACCACAACCACCUUGUGAGGAGACGCGAUGACCAUGAAAUCCUUAUCUUCCUCACAUCAGCACUAGCAUAUAUUGCUACACAGCAGCAAGGCUGCUACAGUAAAGUUACAUGGUGGAGAGGAAAGUCGUGUGGCUCAGGCGCUAGCUGUUUGCCGACACCUGGAAGCUGCUUGACAUCCUCCUCAAUCCAUCUUGUUCAUAUAUGUUCUCAUUCUAUGUAUCAUGUUGUCAUAUCAUAUGGAUUAACUAUAUUGUAAUGUUAUUACUGUAUAUUAGGCUAUUCUGUACACACGAAUAUAUUGCACUUCUGUCCGUCCUGGGAGAGGGGUCCCUCCUCAGUUGCUCUUCCUGAGGUUUCUUCUACUUUUUCCUCUGUUGAAGAGGUUUGUUUGGGGAAUUUUUCCUUAUCUGAAGCAAAGGUCGAAAAGGACAGGGGGUGUCGUGAGCUAUACAGAUUGUAAAGCCCCCUGUGGCAAGUUUGUGAUAUUGGGCUAUAUAAAUAAAAUUGACUUGACUUGAAAAACAAUGCACGCUAACAAUAGUCACUAUUUAUUGUAUGUUAUACAAGCAGUCUAGUCUCCUGAUCAUUCACAGACAUCAU
Molecule: long non-coding RNA, 1085 nt
Organism: Perca flavescens (yellow perch)
Lineage: Eukaryota; Metazoa; Chordata; Actinopteri; Perciformes; Percidae
Exons: 5
Source: RefSeq, a predicted model, not a curated record